AUCCCGACCUGGACUCCUUCUACGUCAGCAGGAGGGCCAGGCAGGGUGGACAGCCAACGACAACAGCCUGACCAACGACAACAGCCUGACCAACGACAGCAGCCUGCCCCACUGCAGCAGCCUGCCCCACAUCAACAGCCUGCACCACUGCAGCAGCCUGGCCCACACCAACAGCCUGGCCAACCUCUGUCAUCAGGAGCUGCAACAUCGGGAUCAGAGCAGUCAGAGUAUGUGGAGGACAGCGAAAAAUGCCACACCAACUCCUGGAAUGGAGGCACAGGCGUUCUGGGCCAAUUCACCUAUCGGCCUCAUUCCUACAUCAUCCACUGCCACAAGCUCUGCUCUGCAGGAAAGACGUUUGGUGCCAAUCUUCUAGCUUUCUGCCAGGAGUACAGACCCACUGGAGCUGAGAUCCGUCACAUCCUGGCCAAGCAUCUUUCAGCCUGUGAAUAUCAAAAACUGACUGGACAAUUGCCUGAUGUGACAAUUGCUCUCAAACACAAAGACUGGACAAACAACUUAAAUGAUGGAUUCGUUGCCGCAGUGAGGACGCUUGUUGCCCACCUCGAAACUGCGUUCCCCGAUAAAGUCUGUAUGAUUAAAGUCACCACAUGCAAACAACAACCAGAGGAAUCGGUUGAUGACUUUGUUCACCGCAUCACCACCGCAUACAACACUCACGGAGGGGCUCAACCUCCCCCUGAAGGAGUGGGAGGACUCAUCUGUUCAACAUACGAGAGUCACCUGUGCGAACUGGUGAUGAAAGGCUUACUCCCUGAAUUUUUUGACGCUGUGAAGCAGUCAUACAUCGGAUGGAAAGAAGAAGCGCGUCUGUCUGACCUCACAAGACACGCACACCAUGCUUAUGACACUCUCCAGCAGAAGAAGAUGGCGAAGAAGGAAAAACAACAGAGCGAACUGUAUCUGCCAUCCUUGGAGAUGUUCUCUGCGAUGCAUAACAACUACAGAGGAGUGCACAGGUUUCGCGGGCGAGCAAGAGGAAGAGACUUUAGACGGAAUUGGCCCGACAGAGACACAGGAGGCGCAUCUGGAGAUCCAGGAAACGUUUGCCACAUCUGCGGCGAGAUGGGACACUGGAGGAAGUACUGCCCCCGGCUACGUCAGGUUCCACCCUCCCGGGCACUCUCGUCAGACUGA
This 1158-nucleotide long non-coding RNA is filed under the name Betta splendens (Siamese fighting fish). RNAcentral's name for it is "lncRNA (ENSBSLG00000013618.1)". Lineage: Eukaryota; Metazoa; Chordata; Actinopteri; Anabantiformes; Osphronemidae. The record is from RNAcentral.